UUUAUCGAAUCCAGUGGCAAACGGGUGAGUAACACGUAAACAACCUGCCUUCAGGAUGGGGACAACAGACGGAAACGACUGCUAAUACCGAAUACGUUCCACGGGCCGCAUGACCUGUGGAAGAAAGGGUAGCCUCUACCUGUAAGCUAUCGCCUGAAGAGGGGUUUGCGUCUGAUUAGGCAGUUGGUGAGGUAACGGCUCACCAAACCAACGAUCAGUAGCCGGUCUGAGAGGAUGAACGGCCACACUGGAACUGAGACACGGUCCAGACUCCUACGGGAGGCAGCAGUGGGGAAUCUUCCGCAAUGGACGAAAGUCUGACGGAGCAACGCCGCGUGAGUGAAGACGGCCUUCGGGUUGUAAAGCUCUGUGAUCCGGGACGAAAGAGCCUGAGGUUAAUAGCCUAAGGAAGUGACGGU
This 419-nucleotide ribosomal RNA is filed under the name uncultured bacterium. Its description in RNAcentral is "bacterial SSU rRNA". It matches the Rfam family "Bacterial small subunit ribosomal RNA", at positions 82 to 476 of the family's 1533-position model. The record is from RNAcentral.